ACCGCUCAGUAACACGUGGACAACCUACCCUUAGGUCGGGGAUAAACCCGGGAAACUGGGUAUAAUACCCGAUAGAUCUCGGCUGCUGGAAUGCAUCGAGCUCUAAAGCUCCGGCGCCUAAGGAUGGGUCUGCGGCCUAUCAGGUAGUAGUGGGUGUAGCGUACCUACUAGCCUACGACGGGUACGGGUUGUGAGAGCAAGAGCCCGGAGAUGGAUUCUGAGACACGAAUCCAGGCCCUACGGGGUGCAGCAGGCGCGAAAACUUUACAAUGCUGGAAACAGCGAUAAGGGAACCUCGAGUGCCAGGUUACAAAUCUGGCUGUCGUGAUGCCUAAAAAGCAUUGCAUAGCAAGGGCCGGGCAAGACCGGUGCCAGCCGCCGCGGUAACACCGGCGGCUCGAGUGGUAACCGUUAUUAUUGGGUCUAAAGGGUCUGUAGCCGGCCGGAUAAGUCUCUUGGGAAAUCUGGCAGCUUAACUGUCAGGCUUUCAGGAGAUACUGUCUGGCUCGAGGCCGGGAGAGGUGAGAGGUACUUCAGGGGUAGGGGUAAAAUCCUGUAAUCCUGGAAGGACCACCGGUGGCGAAGGCGUCUGACUAGAACGGAUCCGACGGUGAGGGACGAAGCCCUGGGGCGCAAACGGGAUUAGAUACCCCGGUAGUCCAGGGUGUAAACGCUGCGGGCUUGGUGUUGGGGGUCCUUAGUGGGCGCCCAGUGCCGGAGAGAAGUUGUUAAGCCUGCUGCUUGGGGAGUAUGUCCGCAAGGAUGAAACUUAAAGGAAUUGGCGGGGGAGCAC
Molecule: ribosomal RNA, 793 nt
Filed under: uncultured archaeon
Lineage: Archaea
Description: bacterial SSU rRNA
Rfam family: Archaeal small subunit ribosomal RNA
Source: RNAcentral